GGCCUCCCAAAGUGCUGGGAUUAUAGGUGUGAGCCACUGUGCCUGGCCAAUCUUUCACCCAUUUCAAAGUCUUUAACAAUUUUUCUUGACAUUACUAAUUCCUCUGCCUAGAUUGUAAGUCACUAAAAUUAUCUUCAUCAAAUCAGUUCCUUUUUUUUUUUAGAUGGUGUUUCACUCUGUCGCCCAUGUUAGGCAGGAAUCUAGACCCAACAUGGCGGUAUCACCCGGCAUGGCAGGCCCUUUGUUAGGACUUCCCGCCCUUCACUUCCUGCUAAGACUCUCAGGGCGUGAAAAAAGCCCACGCCUGAUAAAAAACCCCCGCUCUGCGCAAGCUCCUGGACACAUCAUUCCUCAGAAAUCGAAACCUAACUCAGGAAAACUGAAACCUAUAAACCCCGCCUACCUCGCCCUAUAAAAGGCCCUCGAUACCCACCCCGAGCGCGACUUCCUCGGUCCUCCUCCUAGGGGACCGGUGAACCUCGCCCAUGAGCCCAAUAAAGGCUACCUCUGUUCUCAUCUGCCUCGUAAGACCUUGCUUGUCUCCCCAUUACAUUACAUUAGUGCGGAAACCCGGGAGGAGACCCCUCCCUGGACCCCUGCCGGUUCGGGCAGGCUCUCCUCUCCCCGAGCCAGGACCUCCUGUCCCAGCCGGGAGCCCUUUCACCAAAUCCAAGACUCAAUUCGAUCACUGCUGGGUAAGUUUUCCCCCGUCCUGCAGGCUCCGGGAGUCCCUGCCCGAAAACACGGCCGCGUCAGGGCUUCCCCCGUCCGUCACUUGUGACCUCGGCACUGGGGACUAGGAGUCAUUCAACCUCCCCAGAAGCCACCAUACCCCGCACUCCACGUGGCACUGGGAGGAUGCUCCCGUUGCCUCCGGACUGCCCGCCUCAGGAUCAUGGGGGCUGCCCAGUCCGAACCAGACUGAAAAUCCCCUCUGGGGUGCCUCUUGGCUAAUUUUCAGACUUUAGGUCUCAGCCAAGACCUAAAACGAAAGCGGCUUAUUUUCUUCUGCACAGUGGCAUGGCCGCAGUAUAAAUUAGAUAAUCAGUCUCAGUGGCCUGCAGAGGGCACUCUAGACUUUAACAUCCUCACAGACCUGACCAAUUUCUGCAAGAGACUAGGCAAAUGGUCCGAGGUAGCCUACGUUCAGGCCUUUUGGGACUUGCGCUCUCGCCCAGACCUCUGUGCCCAAUGUUUGUUGGCCCAGGUCUUGCUCGCGAAAUCCACUCUCUCAAGCAAGGAGAAGGAUGAUUCUUCCUCUUUCUCUGAGCCCCUUAUACUCUUUCCCUGCCCCCACUUCGGUCCCGUGCUCAACCUCCCCCUUACCCUGACCCGUCGUCGUCUCCGUCCUCGUUGGUGCCACCCCUUCCCUCCACUCCUCCUGUGUCCCCACUAAACCUGACGGACCCUGUCUCUCCUAUCUCCACCUCCUCCUCACCUGUCUCAGCCCAUACCCGGUCCAGGACCGACCUCCUGUGCCCCUUGCGGGAAGUGGCAGGCACCAAAGGAAUAGUCCGGGUCCAUGUGCCAUUUUCGCUGGCAGACCUGUCUAAGACUGAAGAGGGUGCAGGCUUUUUCUUGGCCAACCCCACUCUGUAUAUCAAAGAGUUCAGAUACCUAUGCCAGGCGUAUGACUUCACCUGGCAUGAUCUCCAUGUCGUUAUGACCUCAACCCUGUCCCCUGAGGAAUGGGAGCAUAUCCUAGCGGCAGCCAGGCAGCAUGCUGACCAGGUUCAUUUAACUGACCCCGCCAUGCCAGUCAGCACCGAGGCGGUGCCCUUGGCUGAGCCCGGCUGGGACUACCAGGUUGGGCAGGCAGGCCACCGCCGCCGAGACAUGAUGGUCCAGUGCCUUCUUACCAGUAUGCAAGUAGCCUCCAAUAAGUCAGUCAACUUUGAUAAAUUAAAGGAGGUAGUCCAAGGCUCAGAUGAGAAUCUGGCCGUUUUUCUUAACCGACUGACUGAGGCACUCACUCAGUACACCCGCCUUGACCCUACCUCCCCCGCAGGAGGAACCGUCUUGGCUAUGUACUUUAUUUCUCAGUCAGCUCCGGAUAUCCGGAAAAAAUUUUAAAAGGUGGAGGACGGCCCUCAAACUUCCAUCCAGGAUUUAGUCAAACUGGCCUUCAAGGUCUACAACUCCAGGGAGGAAGCAGCUGAGGCCCAGCGACAGGCAGGCUAAAGCAGAAGGCACAACUCCAAACCCAGGCCUUGGUAGCUGCCCUGAGGCCAGCCGGCUCCAGGAGCUCUCAGAGAGGAGGUACUCCCCAAGCGCCACCUGGUGCCUGCUUCAAGUGUGGCAACGAUGGCCACUGGGCCAAGCAGUGCCCCAACCCUAAGGAGCCAACUCGCCCCUGUCCAAGCUGUCGGCAGAUGGGCCACUGGAAGUCAGACUGCCCCAACCUGAGGACGGUCACUAUGCCUCCACGUGAUGACCCUCCUCCAGGUGCUGGAGGUGUCUUCCAGCUCCUCAACACCGAUGAAGAUUGAAGAGGCCCAGACUCGGGAACCCCUCUUACUCUCGCCGAGCCCAGGGUUAUGCUCCAGAUAGCGGGAAGUGGGCAGAGAACUGCUCAGAUAGCUUCAUCAAACACUGUUUUCAACCCUCGCUAUGUGAGAGCCAAGCACUUCAGACUAUGGAAAUGAUGUUAGACAAAAAGCAAAUUCAAGCAAUUUUGUUAUUCGAGUUCAAAAUGGGUUGUAAAGUGCGGAGACAACUCGCAAUGUCAAUAAUCCAUUUGGCCCAGGAACUGCUAAUGAACAUACAGUGCAGUGGUGGUUCAAGAAGUUUUGCAAAGGAGACAAGAGCCUUGAAGAUAGGGAGCGUAGUGGCCAGUCAUCAGAAGUUGACAAUGACCAAUUGAUAGCAAUAAUCAAAGCUGACCCUCUUACAAUUACACAAGAUGUUGCUAAAGAACUCAAUGUUGACCAUUCUAUGCUCAUUUGGCAUUUGAAGCAAAUUGGAAAGGUGAAAAAGCUUGAUAAGUGAGUACCUCAUGAACUGAGCAAAAAUUUCUAAAAAUAAUAAUUUUUUGAAGUGCUGUCUUCUCUUAUUUUACGCAACAACAACGAACCAUUUCUUGAUUGGAUUUGUGCAAUGAAAAGUGGAUUUAAAUUUUUGUUUUUGUUUUUUUUCUGAGAUGGAGUCUCGCUCUGUCACCCAGA
This is a long non-coding RNA of Cercocebus atys (sooty mangabey), 3164 nucleotides long. RefSeq lists it as uncharacterized. The transcript has 3 exons. NCBI's taxonomy places the organism in Eukaryota, Metazoa, Chordata, Mammalia, Primates, Cercopithecidae. The record is from RefSeq and is a predicted model, not a curated record.